RNAcentral lists this ribosomal RNA (468 nucleotides) under uncultured bacterium. RNAcentral's name for it is "partial 16S ribosomal RNA". It matches the Rfam family "Bacterial small subunit ribosomal RNA", at positions 28 to 507 of the family's 1533-position model. The record is from RNAcentral.
GACGAACGCUGGCGGCGUGCUUAACACAUGCAAGUCGAACGGAAAGGCCCUGCUUUUGUGGGGUGCUCGAGUGGCGAACGGGUGAGUAACACGUGAGUAACCUGCCCUUGACUUUGGGAUAACUUCAGGAAACUGGGGCUAAUACCGGAUAGGAGCUCCUGCUGCAUGGUGGGGGUUGGAAAGUUUCGGCGGUUGGGGAUGGACUCGCGGCUUAUCAGCUUGUUGGUGGGGUAGUGGCUUACCAAGGCUUUGACGGGUAGCCGGCCUGAGAGGGUGACCGGCCAAAUUGGGACUGAGAUACGGCCCAGAAUCCUACGGGAGGCAGCAGGGGGGAAUAUUGCAAAAUGGGCGGAAGCCUGAUGCAGGAACGCCGCGUGCGGGAUGAAGGCCUUCGGGGUGGAAACCGCUUUCGCCUGUGAAGAAGCGGGAGUGACGGUAAUGGGUAAAGAAGCAACGGCUAACUACGUG